Molecule: ribosomal RNA, 653 nt
Filed under: Corynebacterium sp. Bacteria_28
Lineage: Bacteria; Bacillati; Actinomycetota; Actinomycetes; Mycobacteriales; Corynebacteriaceae
Description: bacterial SSU rRNA
Rfam family: Bacterial small subunit ribosomal RNA
Source: RNAcentral
ACAUGCAAGUCGAACGGUAAGGCCCCAGCUUGCUGGGGUACACGAGUGGCGAACGGGUGAGUAACACGUGGGUGACCUGCCCCGCACUUCGGGAUAAGCCUGGGAAACUGGGUCUAAUACCGGAUAGGACCGCACCGUGAGGGUGUGGUGGAAAGUUUUUCGGUGUGGGAUGGGCCCGCGGCCUAUCAGCUUGUUGGUGGGGUAAUGGCCUACCAAGGCGGCGACGGGUAGCCGGCCUGAGAGGGUGGACGGCCACAUUGGGACUGAGACACGGCCCAGACUCCUACGGGAGGCAGCAGUGGGGAAUAUUGCACAAUGGGCGGAAGCCUGAUGCAGCGACGCCGCGUGGGGGAUGACGGCCUUCGGGUUGUAAACUCCUUUCACCAUCGACGAAGGUUUUCUGACGGUAGAUGGAGAAGAAGCACCGGCUAACUACGUGCCAGCAGCCGCGGUAAUACGUAGGGUGCGAGCGUUGUCCGGAAUUACUGGGCGUAAAGAGCUCGUAGGUGGUUUGUCGCGUCGUCUGUGAAAUUCCGGGGCUUAACUCCGGGCGUGCAGGCGAUACGGGCAUAACUUGAGUACUGUAGGGGAGACUGGAAUUCCUGGUGUAGCGGUGAAAUGCGCAGAUAUCAGGAGGAACACCGGUGGCGAAG